AACGAACGCUGGCGGCAUGCCUAACACAUGCAAGUCGAACGAGACCUUCGGGUCUAGUGGCGCACGGGUGCGUAACGCGUGGGAAUCUGCCCUUGGGUUCGGAAUAACAGUUGGAAACGACUGCUAAUACCGGAUGAUGACGUAAGUCCAAAGAUUUAUCGCCCAGGGAUGAGCCCGCGUAGGAUUAGCUAGUUGGUGGGGUAAAGGCCUACCAAGGCGACGAUCCUUAGCUGGUCUAAGAGGAUGAUCAGCCACACUGGGACUGAGACACGGCCCAGACUCCUACGGGAGGCAGCAGUGGGGAAUAUUGGACAAUGGGCGAAAGACUGAUCCAGCAAUGCCGCGUGAGUGAUGAAGGCCUUAGGGUUGUAAAGCUCUUUUACCCGGGAUGAUAAUGACAGUACCGGGAGAAUAAGCCCCGGCUAACUCCGUG
This 433-nucleotide ribosomal RNA is filed under the name uncultured bacterium. RNAcentral's name for it is "partial 16S ribosomal RNA". It matches the Rfam family "Bacterial small subunit ribosomal RNA", at positions 29 to 507 of the family's 1533-position model. The record is from RNAcentral.